Molecule: ribosomal RNA, 492 nt
Filed under: uncultured bacterium
Lineage: Bacteria
Description: partial 16S ribosomal RNA
Rfam family: Bacterial small subunit ribosomal RNA
Source: RNAcentral
AGUGAACGCUGGCGGUAGGCCUAACACAUGCAAGUCGAACGGCAGCACAGUAAGAGCUUGCUCUUACGGGUGGCGAGUGGCGGACGGGUGAGGAAUACAUCGGACUCUACUUUUUCGUGGGGGAUAACGUAGGGAAACUUACGCUAAUACCGCAUACGACCUACGGGUGAAAGCAGGGGAUCUUCGGACCUUGCGCGAUUGAAUGAGCCGAUGUCGGAUUAGCUAGUUGGCGGGGUAAAGGCCCACCAAGGCGACGAUCCGUAGCUGGUCUGAGAGGAUGAUCAGCCACACUGGAACUGAGACACGGUCCAGACUCCUACGGGAGGCAGCAGUGGGGAAUAUUGGACAAUGGGCGCAAGCCUGAUCCAGCCAUGCCGCGUGUGUGAAGAAGGCCUUCGGGUUGUAAAGCCCUUUUGUUGGGAAAGAAAAGCAGCAGGUUAAUACCCCGCUGUUCUGACGGUACCCAAAGAAUAAGCACCGGCUAACUUCGUG